UGAUUCCUGCGGUGUGCGUGUAACGAGAUAUGUCUUGAGCCAACGUUUUUACCCCGCGCAGGGUUGCUCCGGACCGGCAGAAGCGGCAUGGGCUGCGCAAGCCAAGGCCCGGGAACCCUCAACUCCUUGAGGAGCGGGUCAAGACAGUUCGUUCACGGCAUUGCGGGAUUUUU
This 173-nucleotide non-coding RNA is filed under the name Synergistaceae bacterium. Its description in RNAcentral is "6S RNA". It matches the Rfam family "6S / SsrS RNA". From Rfam's summary of the family: E. coli 6S RNA was the first non coding RNA to be sequenced, but its function was unknown until recently. It consists of 184 nucleotides that fold into an extended hairpin structure with a large single-stranded internal bulge. The 6S RNA specifically associates with RNA polymerase holoenzyme containing the sigma70 specificity factor. The record is from RNAcentral. Lineage: Bacteria; Thermotogati; Synergistota; Synergistia; Synergistales; Synergistaceae.